AAAGGAAUUGACGGGGGCCCGCACAAGCAGUGGAUUAUGUGGUUUAAUUCGAAGCAACGCGAAGAACCUUACCAGGUCUUGACAUCCCGCGACAGCCUGAGAGAUCAGGUGUCCCUUCGGGGCGCGGAGACAGGUGGUGCAUGGUUGUCGUCAGCUCGUGUCGUGAGAUGUUGGGUUAAGUCCCGCAACGAGCGCAACCCUUACGAUUAGUUGCUACGCAAGAGCACUCUAAUAGGACUGCCGUUGACAAAACGGAGGAAGGUGGGGAUGACGUCAAAUCAUCAUGCCCUUUAUGACCUGGGCUACACACGUAAUACAAUGGCGUUUAACAGAGGGAAGCGAAGGAGCGAUCUGGAGCGAAUCCCCAAAAAGCGUCCCAGUUCGGAUCGCAGGCUGCAACCCGCCUGCGUGAAGUCGGAAUUGCUAGUAAUCGCGGAUCAGCAUGCCGCGGUGAAUACGUUCCCGGGCCUUGUACACACCGCCCGU
This 486-nucleotide ribosomal RNA is filed under the name uncultured bacterium. Its description in RNAcentral is "bacterial SSU rRNA". It matches the Rfam family "Bacterial small subunit ribosomal RNA", at positions 903 to 1397 of the family's 1533-position model. The record is from RNAcentral.